CACGGGCCCAGGGUGGGAUUAGCCUCACUGGGUCAUCCCUCGAGGUGCAGAGAAAGGCCCUGGGGCCCAGCGGCCAGACCCGGGGAGCAGGAAGCCACGAGGCCAUGCCGGGCUGCACCGAGGCCCAGGGGGUGGGCCUCCAGCAAACCUGCAGGGCACCAGAG
This 164-nucleotide long non-coding RNA is filed under the name Dasypus novemcinctus (nine-banded armadillo). RNAcentral's name for it is "lncRNA (ENSDNOG00000052441.1)". Lineage: Eukaryota; Metazoa; Chordata; Mammalia; Cingulata; Dasypodidae. The record is from RNAcentral.